GAUGAAGAACGCAGCGAAAUGCGAUAAGUAGUGUGAAUUGCAGAAUUCAGAGAAUCAUCGAAUCUUUGAACGCACAUUGCGCCCCUUGGUAUCCCGAGGGGCAUGCCUGUUCGAGCGUCAUUUCACCACUCAAGCCUGGCUUGGUGUUGGGCGACGUCCUCUUUGGGGACGCGCCUCGAAACGCUCGGCGGCGUGGCACCGGCUUUAAGCGUAGCAGAAUCUUUCGCUUUGGAAGUCGGGGCCCCGUCUGCCGGAAGACCUGCUCGCAAGGUUGACCUCGGAUCAGGCAGGGAUACCCGCUGAACUUAAGCAUAUCAAUAAGCGGAGGA
RNAcentral lists this unclassified non-coding RNA (329 nucleotides) under soil metagenome. RNAcentral's name for it is "partial contains 5.8S ribosomal RNA, internal transcribed spacer 2, and large subunit ribosomal RNA". The stretch from base 1 to 120 matches the Rfam family "5.8S ribosomal RNA", at positions 35 to 154 of the family's 154-position model. The record is from RNAcentral.